AGCCCUGUGGUGUAGUGGCCAAUCAUAGCGGACUCUGGAUCCGUUGACCCCGGUUCAAAUCCGGGCAGGGCUA
RNAcentral lists this transfer RNA (73 nucleotides) under Methanobacteriota archaeon. Its description in RNAcentral is "Euryarchaeota archaeon tRNA-Gln". It matches the Rfam family "tRNA". Rfam says of the family: Transfer RNA (tRNA) molecules are approximately 80 nucleotides in length. Their secondary structure includes four short double-helical elements and three loops (D, anti-codon, and T loops). The record is from RNAcentral. Lineage: Archaea; Methanobacteriati; Methanobacteriota.